RNAcentral lists this ribosomal RNA (484 nucleotides) under uncultured bacterium. Its description in RNAcentral is "partial 16S ribosomal RNA". It matches the Rfam family "Bacterial small subunit ribosomal RNA", at positions 30 to 507 of the family's 1533-position model. The record is from RNAcentral.
AUUGAACGCUGGCGGCAGGCCUAACACAUGCAAGUCGAGCGGAUGAAGGGAGCUUGCUCCUGGAUUCAGCGGCGGACGGGUGAGUAAUGCCUAGGAAUCUGCCUGGUAGUGGGGGAUAACGUCCGGAAACGGGCGCUAAUACCGCAUACGUCCUGAGGGAGAAAGUGGGGGAUCUUCGGACCUCACGCUAUCAGAUGAGCCUAGGUCGGAUUAGCUAGUUGGUGGGGUAAAGGCCUACCAAGGCGACGAUCCGUAACUGGUCUGAGAGGAUGAUCAGUCACACUGGAACUGAGACACGGUCCAGACUCCUACGGGAGGCAGCAGUGGGGAAUAUUGGACAAUGGGCGAAAGCCUGAUCCAGCCAUGCCGCGUGUGUGAAGAAGGUCUUCGGAUUGUAAAGCACUUUAAGUUGGGAGGAAGGGCAGUAAGUUUAUACCUUGCUGUUUUGACGCUACCAACAGAAUAAGCACCGGCUAACUUCGUG